GAGCCAACACACAAAUGUAAAAGACUAUUGGCUGAGCAAUGAAGAUAAAGCAACAAACAAGACAAAGUUCCUGCAACUGUGGAACUUCCAUAUGCGUGAAGAAAUGAGGCACUUGACAAGUAAUGACAUUUAUUUUCCCUUAUCUCCCUUAUAUGAAGCAGUGAGCCCAUUACUUUCCAAACAACUGGAGUUCUACCACACACACAUCAGGAUUUCUUAGCUAAAGAGAAAUGGAGUCUUUUCAGUGUGCCCUAAAGGAGGUGGUAAGGAACUGAACCGUAUAUUUUCACAUCUGGUUUGUAGCGUGUUGAAGUCCUAAGUGAAAAGAGCUGAGAGGCAGAGUAAGACAGCCAAAUAGAAAGCCCUACCUAUUGUUUCCCUGAGCAAGGACACCAAAUUAACAGCUAUCUAUAUGAAAAAAACACCUCCAUAAGAACCAAAAAAGAGGUGAGCACUCAUAGUACCUAGUAUUAACUUUACAUCGCUGAAAGAGGCACUGAAGAGACUGAAAAAACAGUCCUGGCCAGGAGUGGUGGCUCAUGCUUGUAAUCCCAGCACUUUGGGAGGCUGAGGCAAGCGGAUUACCUGAGGUCAGGAGUUCAAGACCAGCCUGGCCAGCGUGGUGAAACGCUAUCUCUACUAAAAAUACAAAAUUAGCCAGGUGUUUUGGCACAUGACUGUAAUCCCAGCUACUCAGGAGGCUGAGACAGGAAAAUCUCUUGAACCCAGGAGGGAGAAGUUGCAGUGAGCUGAGAUUGUGCCACUGCACUCCAGCCUGAGAGACAGAGCAAGACUCCAUCUCAAAAAAAAAAAAAGAAAAAGAAAAAAGAAAAAAAAGAAAAAAAAAGAAAACAGUCCUGAAUUGCAGAUGCCACCUCUCCCCACCCCAAGAGUAGCUGUGUGUUGUGGAAUGUAUCUCUGGGUGCUGGGGGAGGGAGAACACAGCAAUUGUGAGGCAUCGAACUCAAUGCUGCCCUGUUAAAGCAGAAAGGAAAACCCAACCACUCUCAGCUGACACCUUUCCACAGAGCAAGCAUUUAAACCAGCCCUAGCCAGAGGGGAAUCUCCCAUCCCAGCAGUCUCCACUUGAAUGCCUGCAAACCUCACCACCAAGAGCUGCAGCCACUCUGUGUCUCCAAGUAAACUUGAAAGGCAGUCUCCGCCAUAAUAGCUGAGACUCAUAGGCGAGUCCUAGGACUGAACUAGGU
Molecule: long non-coding RNA, 1208 nt
Filed under: Homo sapiens (human)
Lineage: Eukaryota; Metazoa; Chordata; Mammalia; Primates; Hominidae
Description: HSALNT0095751
Source: RNAcentral